UACGGAGGGUGCAAGCGUUAUCCGGAUUCACUGGGUUUAAAGGGUGCGUAGGUGGGUUGGUAAGUCAGUGGUGAAAUCUCCGGGCUUAACCCGGAAACUGCCGUUGAUACUAUCAAUCUUGAAUAUCGCGUAGGUAAGCGGAAUAUGUCAUGUAGCGGUGAAAUGCUUAGAUAUGACAUAGAACACCAAUUGCGAAGGCAGCUUACUUCACGAUCAUUGACACUGAGGCACGAAAGCGUGGGGAGCAAACAGG
Molecule: ribosomal RNA, 253 nt
Filed under: uncultured bacterium
Lineage: Bacteria
Description: partial 16S ribosomal RNA
Rfam family: Bacterial small subunit ribosomal RNA
Source: RNAcentral